UACAAAGGUCUCAAGCGUUGUUCGGAUUCAUUGGGCGUAAAGGGCGCGUAGGCUGCGGGGCAAGUCGGGUGUGAAAUCUCAGAGCUCAACUCUGAAACUGCACUCGAUACUGCUUUGCUUGAGGACUGGAGAGGAGAUUGGAAUUCACGGUGUAGCAGUGAAAUGCGUAGAUAUCGUGAGGAAGACCAGUGGCGAAGGCGGAUCUCUGGACAGUUCCUGACGCUGAGGCGCGAAGGCCAGGGGAGCAAACGGG
Molecule: ribosomal RNA, 253 nt
Filed under: uncultured bacterium
Lineage: Bacteria
Description: partial 16S ribosomal RNA
Rfam family: Bacterial small subunit ribosomal RNA
Source: RNAcentral